Lemur catta (Ring-tailed lemur) is the source of this 1898-nucleotide long non-coding RNA. RefSeq lists it as uncharacterized. The transcript has 3 exons. Lineage: Eukaryota; Metazoa; Chordata; Mammalia; Primates; Lemuridae. The record is from RefSeq and is a predicted model, not a curated record.
AUCUAACAAACUGAGCAACUACCAGGAGUCCAACCCUGUGCACAGGACUAAGCUCCCCAAUGUGGCACAAGAACCUCUGAAGCUGAUGCACUGAAUAUGUUUUCCAUUUUAGGCAUUCUGCUAUAAGCAACAGCACAUGGACUAAGACAGUACUAGAGAGACAGUUGAAAGCAAGAUGGAUAAGGUCCCGUCUUUGCACAGAGAUGAAACUCGAGCCAGGACAAAGGCGGAGUGAGCGGGUUCUGGCAGUGAAGCAUGGCGCAGGCUGCGCUGCCUGAGGACAAGGAACUAAGGCAGCGUCAAGGCACCAGGUGAGAACCAGAGGACGACUGAGCAGCCAGCUUCUCAGCUGACAAGGGAAACUGGUGGACAAUGGAAGUAGGAAGAACAAGCCAACUGGAUUCCAAAGUUUCAUUCCAGAAGAGGAGGAAUUUCUCUGUUCAGAUUUGGAUAAUAAUCCCGAAAGCCACAAUCCUGAAUGCCAUAAUCCCAAAUGCUGAAAGAUCAAAAUCCCUAAAGGCUUGAUCUCUAACAUCUAACUGAAUCCCCAAAGCAUAAUGACAGAUUUGGAAUUAGGGGCGAUCAAGGAUUCUAAAAGUAAAUUUUAAGGUGUUAUCAAUCAAGUUUGUGUAUUUGGUGGAAAAGUCAAAUGAGUGGAUUGGCCCUAUGAUACAGCAACUAUGAAAACUGCAGUAUAAAAAUGCAUCGUUUGUCUGCCUUGGCAUUCUUUCUAGCUGUUGAAAUUCCAGGAGUUUCCAAUAAAUUAAAGCCACAAUUGCUGAGGAAGCCAGUGAUGUUAUUGACUGGCUUGAAAAUAAUUAUGUGCAUGGUAGGAUAAGAGGACACUUGUGUCACAGUGUUGCUGUUUGAUCACAAGUAUUGUUUCUACCAAAUCUGUGGUCUGUAUAUGAGCACACGCAGAAUGGAUUUCCAUAAACCCCAGAUAACAUAUAAACAUGCCACAGAAGAUGGGAAAAUUUAAUAGGAAAUGCCCAUGUCAAUGUAUCAUAGAAGAAUUUCAAAAAGAGCAGCAUGUAGAGAAUGAAUGUGAAUGCAUUCUCUGAGGAAAGCCAUGCCCUAAAAGAAAAAAAAAGUAGCUAUUCAUCCUGAUGCAAGACUGCAAAAUAUAGUUAAUGAUCGUGAAAACCGACCAGCUCUUACGGACUACAUCAGUGCAAUUGUCCAUAAUCCAGCCCUGUAAUAUACUUUUACAUGUUGAAUUUUCUUUUGUAGCUGUUGUUCUGGACUUUGUCUUUCUUUUAGUUUUGUUUUAUUUUAUUUUAUUUAUUUAAGUUUUAUUUAUUAGUUUUAUUUUAAGUUGUCAGCAUUAUUUCUCACAAUUUGCUAUGCUAUGUAUUUCAUAUUCACAUUAUUUCCAACACUGGAGGUAUCAAUUGUGUAAAGGCUUUUAAAGAGUUCUAAUUUGUUUUAUGCAUUUUUUACAUAAUUGACUCUACAAAAGAGCAUGAUCACGAUGUCGACUUUGUGUAUAAUCAUUGUGCAUGUAUGUAAAAUGCUGAAACUUCCUUGAUAAGUAGGGAGAUGUCCUUUUUGUACACCCGCAUUUGUGAAAGGUGAAAUUUCUCAAGAUCUCAGCUCUUUAGGUGACUGCAUAGCAGUGGUGACUCAUCGAGGUUUUUGGUCUCUUCCGGAGACUUCUGUCGUGGUAUUUCAGAUGGCCACAUUUGCAUAAGCUAUUUCUUUACGCAUAUGGUUCAUUUGCUCAUAACUGUUACACCCUUGUGACUGCCGUUAGUAUACCUGCAUGUUUAUGCUUGUGAAAAUAUGUAUGUUAUUAUUUCCUAUUUUAUUGUGUAAAUUGGCCUAUAAAGUGUUCGGUCCUGUUGUUUCUCAAAUAAAUCUCUUUAUAAAAAUGUAAAUAAAUAUCUUUUAAAGAA